AACGAACGCUGGCGGCAUGCCUAACACAUGCAAGUCGAACGAGACCUUCGGGUCUAGUGGCGCACGGGUGCGUAACGCGUGGGAACCUGCCCUUAGGUUCGGAAUAACUCCCCGAAAGGGGUACUAAUACCGGAUAAUGUCUUCGGACCAAAGAUUUAUCGCCUUUGGAUGGGCCCGCGUUGGAUUAGCUAGUUGGUAGGGUAAAAGCCUACCAAGGCGACGAUCCAUAGCUGGUCUGAGAGGAUGAUCAGCCACACUGGGACUGAGACACGGCCCAGACUCCUACGGGAGGCAGCAGUGGGGAAUAUUGGACAAUGGGCGAAAGCCUGAUCCAGCAAUGCCGCGUGAGUGAUGAAGGCCUUAGGGUUGUAAAGCUCUUUUACCCGGGAUGAUAAUGGCAGUACCGGGAGAAUAAGCUCCGGCUAACUCCGUG
RNAcentral lists this ribosomal RNA (433 nucleotides) under uncultured bacterium. Its description in RNAcentral is "partial 16S ribosomal RNA". It matches the Rfam family "Bacterial small subunit ribosomal RNA", at positions 29 to 507 of the family's 1533-position model. The record is from RNAcentral.